Molecule: long non-coding RNA, 249 nt
Filed under: Brassica napus (rape)
Lineage: Eukaryota; Viridiplantae; Streptophyta; Magnoliopsida; Brassicales; Brassicaceae
Description: long non-coding RNA (BNAP_LNC005716)
Source: RNAcentral
AAUAUCGAACUCGCCAAACGUUUAUAAUCUCCCUUUACUUCGAUCUACUUUUAAUAUAAACAAUAUUUCUGACUUACUUUAUCCUUUAAUCCUUUCUUUAACACAAUCCUGAACUCACUACUCAAUCUUCCUAACACGUCUCAUUGAUGACCAUUAGGCACAUAAAAUGUUGCCUCGUUGAAGACCUUACUAGAAAAACAUAAUAGGAAAAACUGUUGUUAUAAAAAGUGCAGCGCGCGAAUGACUUCC